UACCAGCACCCCGAGUGGUCGGGACGAUUAUUGGGCCUAAAGCAUCCGUAGCCGGUUCUGCAAGUCCCCCGUUAAAUCCAGCUGCUCAACAGAUGGGCCGCGGAGGAUACUACAGAGCUAGGAGGCAGGAGAGGCAAGCGGUACUCAGUGGGUAGGGGUAAAAUCCGUUGAUCCAUUGAAGACCACCAGUGGCGAAGGCGGCUCACUGGUCCAUUACUGACGCUGAGGUGCGAAAGCGUGGGGAGCAAACAGG
Molecule: ribosomal RNA, 253 nt
Filed under: uncultured bacterium
Lineage: Bacteria
Description: partial 16S ribosomal RNA
Rfam family: Archaeal small subunit ribosomal RNA
Source: RNAcentral